Molecule: ribosomal RNA, 504 nt
Filed under: uncultured bacterium
Lineage: Bacteria
Description: partial 16S ribosomal RNA
Rfam family: Bacterial small subunit ribosomal RNA
Source: RNAcentral
AUUGAACGCUGGCGGCAGGCCUAACACAUGCAAGUCGAACGGUAGCACAGAGAGCUUGCUCUCGGGUGACGAGUGGCGGACGGGUGAGUAAUGCCUGGGAAACUGCCCGAUGGAGGGGGAUAACUACUGGAAACGGUAGCUAAUACCGCAUAACGUCGCAAGACCAAAGUGGGGGACCUUCGGGCCUAACACCAUCGGAGGUGACCAGAUGGGAUUAGCUAGUAGGUGGGGUAAUGGCUCACCUAGGCGACGAUCCCUAGCUGGUCUGAGAGGAUGACCAGCCACACUGGAACUGAGACACGGUCCAGACUCCUACGGGAGGCAGCAGUGGGGAAUAUUGCACAAUGGGCGCAAGCCUGAUGCAGCCAUGCCGCGUGUAUGAAGAAGGCCUUCGGGUUGUAAAGUACUUUCGGCGGGGAGGAAGGCGGUGAAGUUAAUAACUUCACCGAUUGACGUUACCCGCAGAAGAAGCACCGGCUAACUCCGUGCCAGCAGCCGCCGUAA